Molecule: non-coding RNA, 1155 nt
Organism: Biomphalaria pfeifferi
Lineage: Eukaryota; Metazoa; Mollusca; Gastropoda; Planorbidae
Source: the annotation of a GenBank genome assembly
AUAGGUUAUAAAUAUUGAUUUUAUAAAUGUACAUUAAAUAUCACAUUCAUUUAACUUUCUGACAUCAACAUUUGACUUCAUAGAAAUCAUGAAGUACUUAUGACAUUGCAAGAGUGACUAUUUACAGUGCAAACAGUGAUAAAUAAAAGUAACACCUGAUUAGCAAUCAUGUGUGUGUGUGUGUGAAGGGGGUGUCAUCCUUCCAAAGUCAGGAUGAAUGAUGCUUAUAAAUAUUGAUUCUUUUAUGGUUUAUCUGCACUGGUUAAUUUGAGCCAACCAAGAUUCAUAAGUCAAACUGUGGAAAUGUGGAGUGAUAAAACCUUGACCUUCUAAUAUGAAGGUCUCAAGGUUAUCAGUUAAACAAAGGUUGGAAUUUUUUCCUUUCAUCUUCAAUUAUUAAAAGAAAAAAAUAACAAUGAUAACCAUAUCAAGCUUUACAUCACCUGAACCAUAAAUAAUAUACAUUGCUUUACAUGUUUUUAUGUCUCUAGUAAAGAAAGUAAAUGAACACAAAAGUAAAAAAUAUUUUAAUUCUAUCAUUGCUGCCUGAAUAUAAUAUAGUUAAAUGUGUUGUGUGGAACUUUGCUUUUAAAUAUUUGUUGUUAAAAAAAAAAGGUUAAUGGAUUCUGACAGUCCCACUUUUAUACAAAACAAUUCCCCUCAAAAUCUAAAUCAUCUGUAGUUGUUAUGUUUUUUCAACUGAGGCAGGUUACAUUACAAAGUCAAGGAAACUUAUGUUCAGUCAAUGGCCUACAAUUCUUAGUAACUUCUACUAUCCUCUUCAAGAAACAAAAUAAAAAAAUUAUUUCAAUAGUAUGUACCGUUACUAAAAAUUUAUAUGUAAAAUCUUUAUAAAAGACUUUUGCAUUUGAUUCUUUGCUUAGUCUAUCCCUCUAAAACAUGCGUAGUACAUACAUAAUCCAUUCUCACAUAAGUAUAAAAUAUUACAAAUUAAUAUGUGUAGGGUAAGGAAUCAUCUCAAAAUAAAUAUUUUUUGUGUACAAAAUACAUUAUAAAUUUUGUUCCAGAAUGAUUUGAUUAUGAACAAUAAAGGUUCAACAAGUCACUGAGAGCAUGAUUUUGUUCACAACAAAUUAUCUGCAAUGUCAGAUUUAGUUGAAGAGAAUAGACUCUGGGUCCUGGUUCCUUAGCUGA